Molecule: long non-coding RNA, 1073 nt
Organism: Cyprinus carpio (common carp)
Lineage: Eukaryota; Metazoa; Chordata; Actinopteri; Cypriniformes; Cyprinidae
Source: RefSeq, a predicted model, not a curated record
AGCCUGCACCAUCUGGACUUGCUUGUGUUUUACUAGAUUGUUGUGAUGUUGUGUGAUAACUAAAAGAACUAUAUGUAUAAUCAUUUUAAAAUAUAGUAUUUUUGAGAGUAUAAAUGUGUUGCUCCUGUCAGUUGGUUUACUUUGCCUGACUCUGUUUUAUAUUGUGUUGUUGUGUGCUGGUUUGUAAUGCUUCUGUGGGGUAGGUCUGACUGGAUUCGACUGGCUCAUACUGAACAAAAGCAGAUGAGGAACUACUGCGAUGCUGCUGAGGCUGGAGCUAUCUAGUUCAGACCGGUAGCUGGGUGCUGCUUUCAACACUGAAGGGCUCUUUGAGGGUGGGGGGGGGGUUAUUGUCAUCUGUGUGAUUAAUUGAGGGAAGACAGCCUUCAGAGGUUUCAGAGUUACUACUGUAAAAGGUGUGAAGCCGAACCCCUUCCUCCCCCGUCCCGCGUGGCUCUGUGCACGUAACACCUGCCUGCCGCUUCACAGCGGUACAAGAUGUUCUCUCAACAAGAUGUUCUGCAAAAGAGGAACAACCACUUUCACUUUCUGUUGCUGCUGAAAAAAAGUGAUAGAUGUUCGGAAUGACAUGAGGAGCCAUUUUCAAGAAAACAUAAACAUCUCCAGAAGGUUGUUGCAUCAGAUCGCAGGACAAAUGUGCAGUUAAAGGACAACAACGGGGUUGAGAAUUACAUCUGUGCUACUGUCUGACGCACACAGAGGUACAUAAAAUCAGAGAUUGCCAAAGAAGAUUAUCACCCACUCUGACAUCCAAUCCACAACCACCAGCUACCCUCACGGCCUCAUGGUUCAAUGCUUAACACUCUUGAUUGCACCAAAUCAAGUAGCAGGUAGCAGCCCUCAAUCAUCAGUAUAAAAUAACAGUGUGAUGUGUCUUUAAUUGGAACUUUCCCUACACAAUGUUGUGAUGAUUGUUGAGCUCAGACAAAACCACAUUAAACGCAACUUGGUGCAUUAGUAUGGAAUCUCUAAAGGAAAAGAAAAAUUUGCUGAAGAUUGUCAGUCUAAGGCAGGUGUCUCCAACCCUGGUCCUGGAGAGCUACUGUCCUGCA